GAUGGACGCUGGCGGCGUGCCUAAUACAUGCAAGUCGAGCGAACGGACGAGAAGCUUGCUUCUCUGAUGUUAGCGGCGGACGGGUGAGUAACACGUGGAUAACCUACCUAUAAGACUGGGAUAACUUCGGGAAACCGGAGCUAAUACCGGAUAAUAUUUUGAACCGCAUGGUUCAAAAGUGAAAGACGGUCUUGCUGUCACUUAUAGAUGGAUCCGCGCUGCAUUAGCUAGUUGGUAAGGUAACGGCUUACCAAGGCAACGAUGCAUAGCCGACCUGAGAGGGUGAUCGGACACACUGGAACUGAGACACGGUCCAGACUCCUACGGGAGGCAGCAGUAGGGAAUCUUCCGCAAUGGGCGAAAGCCUGACGGAGCAACGCCGCGUGAGUGAUGAAGGUCUUCGGAUCGUAAAACUCUGUUAUUAGGGAAGAACAUAUGUGUAAGUAACUGUGCACAUCUUGACGGUACCUAAUCAGAAAGCCACGGCUAACUACGUG
RNAcentral lists this ribosomal RNA (497 nucleotides) under uncultured bacterium. RNAcentral's name for it is "partial 16S ribosomal RNA". It matches the Rfam family "Bacterial small subunit ribosomal RNA", at positions 28 to 507 of the family's 1533-position model. The record is from RNAcentral.